GAUGAACGCUGGCGGCGUGCCUAAUACAUGCAAGUCGAACGGGAAUCUUCGGAUUCCAGUGGCGAACGGGUGAGGAAUACAUAGGUAACCUGCCCCUCCGAGGGGGACAACAGACGGAAACAUCUGCUAAGACCGCAUAGCCACAGGGAAGGCAUCUUCCCUGUGCCAAAUGUCCUUUCGGGGACAGCGGGGGGAUGGACCUAUGCCGCAUUAGCUGGUUGGCGGGGCAACGGCCCACCAAGGCGACGAUGCGUAGCCGGCCUGAGAGGGCGGACGGCCACACUGGGACUGAGACACGGCCCAG
Molecule: ribosomal RNA, 304 nt
Filed under: uncultured bacterium
Lineage: Bacteria
Description: bacterial SSU rRNA
Rfam family: Bacterial small subunit ribosomal RNA
Source: RNAcentral